GGCGGACGGGUGAGUAACGCGUAGGAAUCUGCCCAAUAGUGGGGGACAACCCCGAGAAAUCCGGGCUAAUACCGCAUACGCCCUACGGGGGAAAGGAGGGGAUCUCUUCGGAGACCUUUCGCUAUUGGAUGAGCCUGCGUCGGAUUAGCUUGUUGGUAGGGUAACGGCCUACCAAGGCGACGAUCCGUAGCUGGUCUGAGAGGACGAUCAGCCACACUGGGACUGAGACACGGCCCAG
This 238-nucleotide ribosomal RNA is filed under the name uncultured bacterium. Its description in RNAcentral is "partial 16S ribosomal RNA". It matches the Rfam family "Bacterial small subunit ribosomal RNA", at positions 97 to 334 of the family's 1533-position model. The record is from RNAcentral.